GCAGCCUUUUGUGGCUUUUUCACUAUGUAUCUCUAUAGCAGACUGUCUUGCAAAAAAUGCAAUAAAAAUAUUUAAUAAAUUGAAUGUCACCCAUUUAGCAAAUAAGAUAUGAAUGAUAUCAGCACAGCAAUAGACAGACUGAAUUAUACUACAACAAAUAAAAUAACAAUUAAAAUAGUUGAAACUUUUGAUGUCUUAUACAAGAACUCCUGGGCCGGGCGCAGUGGCUCACGCCUGUAAUCCCAGCACUUUGGGAGGCCGAGGCGGGCGGAUGACCUGAGGUCAGGACAGAUUUUAUUGAGUCAAUUUGGUUAGGGUAGUAACAGUGUUUCCCAGAAAUCUUUUCUCUACAUGGUUUGGGGUAGGAGCGGGACAAAAAUGGAACAAGAUUUUGGAAAGCAGAGUGAGGCAUGAUGAAUACACUUUGAUGACUUUCAUGAUCUUUUCACACUCAGAGACAGAUUCAGAAAUGUCUGUCAGAAUCCACUUUGUCCUCUGCUCUAUGUCUGGCUUUCUUCCCGAACGCUGGCCUUGCUGACCAACAGUGGCCUCAAACCACUGUUGGCUAAGCAUCAGAGACAGUAGCUAUUCAGAUAACAGCUUCCCAUAUACCACCCCAGGAACUCCUUGUUCAGAGGCCAAUUCACAUCCCCAAAACAAUGCCUAGAAA
This 670-nucleotide long non-coding RNA is filed under the name Pan troglodytes (chimpanzee). RNAcentral's name for it is "long non-coding RNA NONPTRT007131". The record is from RNAcentral. Lineage: Eukaryota; Metazoa; Chordata; Mammalia; Primates; Hominidae.